RNAcentral lists this ribosomal RNA (497 nucleotides) under uncultured bacterium. RNAcentral describes it as "partial 16S ribosomal RNA". It matches the Rfam family "Bacterial small subunit ribosomal RNA", at positions 28 to 507 of the family's 1533-position model. The record is from RNAcentral.
GAUGAACGCUGGCGGCGUGCCUAAUACAUGCAAGUCGAGCGAACAGACGAGGAGCUUGCUCCUCUGACGUUAGCGGCGGACGGGUGAGUAACACGUGGAUAACCUACCUAUAAGACUGGGAUAACUUCGGGAAACCGGAGCUAAUACCGGAUAAUAUAUUGAACCGCAUGGUUCAAUAGUGAAAGACGGUUUUGCUGUCACUUAUAGAUGGAUCCGCGCCGCAUUAGCUAGUUGGUACGGUAACGGCUUACCAAGGCAACGAUGCGUAGCCGACCUGAGAGGGGGAUCGGCCACACUGGAGCUGAGACACGGUCCAGACUCCUACGGGAGGCAGCAGUAGGGAAUCUUCCGCAAUGGGCGAAAGCCUGACGGAGCAACGCCGCGUGAGUGAUGAAGGUCUUCGGAUCGUAAAGCUCUGUUAUUAGGGAAGAACAAAUGUGUAAGUAACUAUGGACGUCUUGACGGUACCUAAUCAGAAAGCCACGGCUAACUACGUG